Molecule: microRNA precursor, 93 nt
Filed under: Acanthisitta chloris (rifleman)
Lineage: Eukaryota; Metazoa; Chordata; Aves; Passeriformes; Acanthisittidae
Description: mir-1388 microRNA precursor family
Rfam family: mir-1388 microRNA precursor family
Source: Rfam by way of RNAcentral
CAGCGAGGGGCACCUCGUGGACUGUCUAACCUGAGAAUGGUGAAACAUCAGGGUCAAUCUCAGGUUCGUCAGCCCAUGAGAUGCUUUCUCCAG